Molecule: ribosomal RNA, 1227 nt
Filed under: Anaerolineae bacterium
Lineage: Bacteria; Bacillati; Chloroflexota; Anaerolineae
Description: partial 23S ribosomal RNA
Rfam family: Bacterial large subunit ribosomal RNA
Source: RNAcentral
UCGUCUCAUCCUGGGGCUGGAUGAGGUCCCAAGGGUUGGGCUGUUCGCCCAUUAAAGAGGCACGUGAGCUGGGUUCAGAACGUGAGUCCCAAGGGGGACUGGCGUCCUGCCAGAGUAAUCUGGCAGUGCUCUCCGGCUUAUAUCGGUGAAGCCCUCGGCGAUGCGCCGAACCGUCGCCAGGGUAACACCGAGGGAAGACCGAGGUAACGGGCCGUGAAAGAGACCUUGAUUGGGACGGUGCUCGGUGAUGGUCGCCUGGAGCGCCAUGGCCAGGGGGUUCGCCUCGCUGUCAACCAUGCGGCGGCCCAAAAGGCCUAUAUCCAGUGGAAACAUCAGGAGUUACUUUCCUUAAGACCAUCGCCCUUGCACUUCCAUUCAGGGGGCAGGUAUCCGUUCUGGCGGUUCGUUACCGGUACGCAUCCAUUGCUGGAAGAGCUAUGGCGGCUCUUCUACGUGGAUGGGCGGAAGCGGGUUCCGGAGGAAAUAGACCGACUGCUAACCUCGCCAAAGGCGUUGGCCGUCUGGUUCAUGGACGAUGGGACCUGCGACAAACGGCAAGGGUCCGUGUUGUUCGAGACUCAAGGAUUUCUCCUUGAGGACAUCGAAAGGCUACAACGGUGUCUGGAAAGCAACUUUCAAUUGGACACCGUUGUUCACCGUAGCGGCAGAGGCAGAGGGUUACGCCUCUACCUGCCGGUGCGGGAAGCCCGUAAGAUGGCCCUUCUGAUCCAGCCGUUUGUUCUGCCAGAAAUGCGAUACAAGUUGCCUCGGUCCCUGUAACGACUGAAGGCCUCUGGCCUGAGAUGGUAGUCCUGCCCCUCGGGGCAAAUCUAUGGCUACCAUCAUACGCCGGCUCCUUCCUAUCUCUUUCGGGAAGGAUGGAGAUAUAGUCUGUGCUGCUGGAAACAGCAGGGAAACAUGCGUGAGACAGUUCGGUCUCUAUCCGCUGUGGGCGCAGGAGGUUUGCGGGGAGCUGCCCCCAGUACGAGAGGACCGGGGUGGACGGACCGCUGGUGUGCCAGUUGUACGGCAACGUGCAUCGCUGGGUAGCCAUGUCCGGACGGGAUAACCGCUGAAAGCAUCUAAGCGGGAAGCCCUCCCCAAGAUAAGACCUCCCACCGGGUGAACCGGGUAAGGCCGCAGGUAGACUACCUGCUUGAUAGGGCGGAGGUGUAAGCACGGCAACGUGUUGAGCUGACCGCUACUAAUGGCCGAGGGCUUGACCCU